GCCGCCGUGGUGAAAUCGGUAGACACGCUGCUCUUAGGAAGCAGUGCUAGGGCAUCUCGGUUCGAGUCCGAGUGGCGGCA
Molecule: transfer RNA, 80 nt
Filed under: Viola chaerophylloides
Lineage: Eukaryota; Viridiplantae; Streptophyta; Magnoliopsida; Malpighiales; Violaceae
Also listed under: 42 other names
Description: tRNA-Leu
Rfam family: tRNA
About the family: Transfer RNA (tRNA) molecules are approximately 80 nucleotides in length. Their secondary structure includes four short double-helical elements and three loops (D, anti-codon, and T loops).
Source: RNAcentral